Non-coding RNA from Peromyscus maniculatus bairdii (prairie deer mouse), 4071 nucleotides. Lineage: Eukaryota; Metazoa; Chordata; Mammalia; Rodentia; Cricetidae. The record is from RefSeq and is a predicted model, not a curated record.
AGAUUAACAGUGUGUAAGCAAGAGAGAUAUUCUUUCACUGUCAGGCUGUGUUUUGUGGCUACAAAGAAAGCAUCAAUCACUUUAUUACUUAUCUUGAAAGGUAAUCUUAUAAGGAAUUUUAAAGGAAUCAUAAAUCUAAACAUGGGGUUGGAGGACAUACGGUGGACAUUUCCUGCACAUUCUAUCAUCACUCACACAUGGGCCAGAGGAAGGCUUUGCCAUAUCUCUGAGCCUCACCCCAGAGAGCCUCACCAUUUUCUCCAUAGGUCUGAGGCUCUGGGGUCCGUGACAUGGCUGUACCCACAUCAACAGCAUGUUCAUUGACGACUUCACUCACCCAGGGCUUUCUCUGCUCUCUACAAAGAACUGUUGGCGAGACAAUGCUGUUUACUUCUAGGGUAUCCAGAUAUCCUCUAGACAGACACUGAAACAACCUCCAUAAUUCAGACUAUAAUAAACUGAACUGAAUUAUUAAGACCCUAUGGGUAUUCCAUGCACCAUACAAUAUGCAGAAUGUGGGGUGUGCUGGAAAGGGUCUCAGAGGAAGUCAACUUCAUCACCUCAUUGGCAGACUAGCUUUAGCUGCCUAAUGCUACACAUACUUUAUCUCUAUCUCUAUAAGGAUCUGUUCUUAGGGGUCAUUUAAUAGUCCAGUAAAUUAGGGGCAUGAAUGUGUCUGGAGGGAAACAAACUGGUAGGAUUCUGACUGUAUUGGGCUUAACUGAUCUUUUAAAUUUUUACCACUCAAGGAGAAGUUUAAGAAAUUAAUUGAGACACUCAUUUUUUUUUCUGGUACAAUGUUUCUAAAUACCGUUUCAUAAUCAUCUCAUAUGUUUUUAUUUAUUCAAAUCAGAUAUUUUCUGAUUUUUAUUGUACUCUUUCUUUGGCCCAUUGGUUUAAAUGUCACAGGGGAUAAUCUAGUACCUUCCUCCAGGGUUGUUGUGAGACACAAAGGGCACUGUACUACUGUAGGAAUGAAAUUACUGUGGACAGUGCCUGGCAUCACAAUAAUAAUCUGUGUAUCAGCUAUUAUUUUCAUCACCAGAUUGCCAUUGUUUUUCUACAUUCUGCUUAGAGAAGAAACCUGAAAUUCCUCUUUCUCUGCCACCAACUCUGGGAUGCAUAAGUAAUCAUUGCUUAUUUUUCAUGCUCCAUUGUUACUACAUGUGAGAGAUCAGAAUUGAUGGAGACCCCAGGCUUUCUCAUAUUGCUACCAUACAAUCAAUCUCUGAUUUACCAGACUUUGAAUAAGAGAGAACCUCUAUUUGUCUUUUGCAACUUCUGCUAUCUUUGGAAGUCAUGCCUUUUAGUACUGUGUGGUCAGAACAAGACGAUAAACAAGAUCAUGGUAGUUUAUGACAUUUGCACCAAAGCACCCGGUUGCCUCUGUGAUUGUCUUUUUCACCAGAAGAGUUGACUUUUGCUGUCUCUGAACACAUUCCUCAUCCCAGCCAGGUCCUGUCGUGGGCUUCCCUUCUUGGUGAGUCUCUUUUACCUGUAAAGGCUUUUCUUUUUAAGUGUCAUUUCUAAGGGCCUUCCCCAUGCCACCAUUUUAUUUUAUUAGUUUUGCAUGUGCACAGAGAUGUGCAUGGAAGCCAGAGGAGAUAACUAUUUUAUCAUUCUCUGUCUUGUUUCCUUGAGACAGGGUUUCUUACUGAACAUGGAGCUAGAAUGGUGGCCAGCAAGCCUCAGCGAUCCUCCUGUUUUUGUGGCCCUCUUUCCCCCAUAGACCCAAUGCAGCACUAGGGAAUACAGGCAACAUGGCCACAUGUGGCUUUUUUACAUGGGUGCUGGGCAUUUCAACUAAGGUCUUUAUGAUUGUACAGCAAGUGAUCUUACCUGAUGAUCCAUCUUCCCAACCUCUCCUCCCUCCUCCUUCCUUAACAGUAUAAAACAUCAAGCAGGACUAAAUGUACUGUUGCCAAAUUAACAAAAUCAAAGCUAAUAUUAAAUGAAAGAUUUUAAAUUUCAAGCAGAGACUAACACACAGAAAAUCCUUCUCAACGUUGACUAAGGAUGCUACAUGAAAAGGAGAGUAUUGUCCACCAGUAGAGGAGAGGAUGGGAUUUCAAGGGAGCCAGCCGAGCCUGAAAGACUCUUUCAGCCUUUAACACAGCCCCACUGUUCCUGCCUGGACAUGAAUGUUAGCCUGAUGAUGGCUCCUUUUGACCUUGUCAUAUUUAAUGGCCAACACCUCACAUUUUGUUCAAAGCUAUCCUGUUCACUUUUCAAAAGGGUUUAAUUUACUUAUUACUCACAUUUAGAUGUAACAAUUCUCUUUGUGUGAGUAACCAUGAAAGCUGAUGUUUCUUGUUACCAGCAGUGGAUUAUUUAAAGUAAGUAUUCAUGAUAAUAAAACCACUAAUACUCUAUAGUUAAAUAUAACUUAGUUCUGUUGUCAUGAAUUUUUCCUUUAACACUUAGCCCUAUAAAGACAAAUUUAUAUCCAAAUACCUAACCUAUUCCUCGUAUAAAUGUUCUAAUCAAUGUCUUUUGUUUAUUAAUUAGCAACAGUAACACUAAAUAAUUUUUUGUUUUAAAAAAUAGUAAAACAGUGUGGGAAGUCCUCCUUUACCAUGCUGCUAGGUAGCUCUGUUUCUUCCAAUCCCAUAUGCUUGCCCCGUGCCUCUGGGUCUCCCCUCUUCCACAGUUCUAUUCCUUCAGAUCUCAAAGGCUCAAAGGCAUGGGUAUUCCUGGACUACUCUUCCCUGAAUCAGUAAGUAGGUCCUGCUGUUCCCUACCCCAUAGCCUUACCUUCUCUUCAGUCUUAAGUCCCCUGAUCUGGAAACAUCAGCUAUGCUCUGCUUCUUCCCACCCCAUUGACAAUCUAUCUCCUCUUGAAUAUUGCCUCUUCAAGUGAAUGGGUAGAUAUUGCUCUGCCACACACUAUAGGCCUACCAGCUCUGUCAGGAUCUAACCUCCAAGUGCUGCCAGAUCUGGCUCUUCCAGGAUCCCUAGCCCUCAGACUAGGCCUGCUCCUUCCUACCCUGAAAGCUUCCCAUCGGGCUAGGAUCUUGCUUUCUAGAUAUUCUAGGUAGGCCUCCCUCUUCUGACCCCACAGGCCUUCUGACUACAUACCUAGCUUCCCAAGAUCUCCUGUCCCCAACCACUGAUUGACCAGAGCUCACUCUAGACUUAGAGAGCUACACCAGAAGGCAGCAGGAGAGAGGACCAACAAGGAAUAUCGUGACUUUUGAGUAGUGUCUGCUUGCCCAGGCAUAGCAGAGUCUCAAAUUAAGAUUAGAGAUAGAGCCCGCUGACCUCAAUACAAGUUCCACAAAAGAAAUGUCUCAGCCUUUUUACAACUUCAUCCUCUCCUGAAUAUGCAUACAUCUACGUGGAAAUAAAUGAAGAAGAAUGAUAAAGGUUGUUUGAUCAAAAGGGAAGAUGCAAUUUAUCUGUAUUCUGUGCCAUUAUAAGUAUGAACUUUGCCUUUUGAUGAUUACAGGGGGUCACAUCAAAGAUUGCCUGGAAUAGAGACUUUUUAGACUUUUGGACAGCAUCGAGACUAUGAAAGACUAUGAGGACUUUUGAAAUUGGGCUAAGUGUAUUUUCCAUCAUGACAGGACUAUGGGCCUUUGGGGGCCAGGGAGUGGAAUGUAAUGGUUUGAAUGAGAAAAGUGAGAGAGUUGAACACUUGGUUCCAGGUUGGUGGUUCUGUGUGGGGAGACCUGGGGUGUUUGCCUAUAUUGCUCUCCACCUUCUAUCUUUUAGACAGAGUCUUUCACUGAGCUUUGUACUCACUGUUUCAGAUAGACUGACUCACUAGUAUGCCCCCAGAAGCUGCCUGUUUCUACCUCUCUCCUGGCUCUGCUCCAUUGGAAUCUAUGUGGAAGUUGAGGCUCUAAACUCAGAAAGUACUCUGUGUGAUUUUCCUGUUUGAAAGAUCAGAAGGGAGAUGAUAUAAUCUGAACAAAUUCAAAGGUAUUGCUGAUCUCUGAUCAAGCACUUCGCCUCCGAGGAAGCUGACAUAUUCAUGUAUGUGUGUCUCAAAUGAAUACCCGGGAAGGAGAGAGCUGCAGCUACAGUGAUCUUUUAUUUCCUUUCUGUUUGCACAAGAUUCCAUAUCAA